This 254-nucleotide ribosomal RNA is filed under the name uncultured bacterium. RNAcentral describes it as "partial 16S ribosomal RNA". It matches the Rfam family "Bacterial small subunit ribosomal RNA", at positions 524 to 776 of the family's 1533-position model. The record is from RNAcentral.
UACGUAGGGUGCGAGCGUUGUCCGGAAUUAUUGGGCGUAAAGAGCUCGUAGGCGGUCUGUCGCGUCGGUCGUGAAAACUUGGGGCUUAACCCUGAGCUUGCGGUCGAUACGGGCAUGACUGGAGUUCGGCAGGGGAGACUGGAAUUCCUGGUGUAGCGGUGAAAUGCGCAGAUAUCAGGAGGAACACCGGUGGCGAAGGCGGUUCUCUGGGCCUUACCUGACGCUGAGGAGCGAAAGCGUGGGGAGCAAACAGG